AUUGAACGCUGGCGGCAGGCCUAACACAUGCAAGUCGAACGAGUGGCGGACGGGUGAGUAAUGUCUGGGAAACUGCCCGAUGGAGGGGGAUAACUACUGGAAACGGUAGCUAAUACCGCAUACCAUCGGAUGUGCCCAGAUGGGAUUAGCUAGUAGGUGGGGUAACGGCUCACCUAGGCGACGAUCCCUAGCUGGUCUGAGAGGAUGACCAGCCACACUGGAACUGAGACACGGUCCAGACUCCUACGGGAGGCAGCAGGGGGGAAUAGUGCACAAGGGGCGCAAGCCGGAUGCAGCCAUGCCGCGUGGAUGAAGAAGGCCUUCGGGUUGUAAAGUACUUUCAGCGAGGAGGCGUUACCCGCAGAAGAAGCACCGGCUAACUCCGUGCCAGCAGCCGCGGUAAUAC
Molecule: ribosomal RNA, 406 nt
Filed under: uncultured bacterium
Lineage: Bacteria
Description: partial 16S ribosomal RNA
Rfam family: Bacterial small subunit ribosomal RNA
Source: RNAcentral